Salvia hispanica is the source of this 1025-nucleotide non-coding RNA. Lineage: Eukaryota; Viridiplantae; Streptophyta; Magnoliopsida; Lamiales; Lamiaceae. The record is from RefSeq and is a predicted model, not a curated record.
CAAAUUUCUAAUUUUCAUUUCUCCAAAACCCUUGAAAUCGAAUUGAUUUAUGAUAUAACGACGCGAUUCAAUCUUGUUGUGAUCACCAUUCAGUGGAAUUAAUCGAAUCGUAAAGAAGAAAUGGCGUUGACGAAUUUCAUACUGACUGUGGCCGGAGUGAGCGCCGUCGUGUUGUUGCUGCGGAGCGAUGUGAAGCAAUCCGCCACCAUCUUCCGUCGCAACGUCCGCCAAAUCCGAAACUGGCUCGAGGAGGAAUCCGCCUCCGCCGCUAAGGAAAUAGAGAAGAAGGCAAAACCCAAGGAAAUAUCAGAGAAAGAUAUCCCUAAGAAAGACUAAGCACUAGGUUCUCAGUUUAUGCCUAGCAAAGGCAUGUGUUUGAUGUUUUUCAAUUUUCCUAUGUAGCUUCAUGUGAAAUCUUGAUAAUUUUUAUGUUGAUUCAUUUCAUGUGAAAUCCCAAUAAAUCUUUAUGCGCGUAUAAUGGAUAUCUUCUUUUUCAAAGAAACGUUUUGAUCUGGUUUGUGCAUCCUGUUCUUAAUGAAUUUUUUCCCAAGCUCCCGUCUUUUGCUGAUCUUUGGCAUCACGAUUAAGUUAGCCUUUGUGUAGAAUCUCAGGCAGGGGAAGUGGAGAUUUUCUGUUGAGAAAUGCAAUCUUUUUUCCAAGUUGGUUGAGUUUUGGAUUGUCACGGCUCUUUGUGAACGUCACUGGCUUGUAGUUGUGUUUAUCGGUGUUAUGGUUGUGUACACCGGCAUUGGUUUUAAAUCGGAUUUGAUGAUUGACUAUUGGCAAGUUGACAAUGAUGAUGAAUUCAUCUGCGGAACUACCAAAAUCGGAGCUUGUUGAGUUGGUCUGAAUUUGAAAAGAAUUAGCGAUGCGUUAAGCAAGGCAAGAAGUGGAUUUUCAUGGUGAAUAGUGGCAUGCAAGGAUGUUCUUCAUUCUUCUUUUCCAUAUUUUGCCUCAGUAGUUUUACAUAUGAUUAUUAGUUACUCAUAUUGGUAUAUAAAGUGGCAACACAAAUUUUUGACCAA